UCUCUCCCUCAGCUCUGUCUCUGUCUCUCUGCAAGUGCAGAGAUACCCAACCACCGGCACACUCCCACUUCGGUGAGCUCCGCCGACACCAACACAACCUACCAAUUUUCUCAACGAGCCACUACCUAGAAGAUAUCACUAAACCUAGAAACAUGUGUGGAAUUGAACCACCAUCGACACCAUUUUGACACACCCCAACCCGGAAUGUUCACCUGGACUCCAAAUCGAGUUAUUAUGGCCGAUACCAUGAAGGUAACGAAGCUGUAAAGUGUAGUGAUGUGGAAAAAGUGAAUAAAUUUAAACCUAAAAGUGCCUAAAUAUAAGAGUGCGCUUAUGAGCAGGAAUGAACCCAUUUCACACAUGAUGUUAAAGCAUAAGUAAAGUACAGUAAAGUAGGAUGAGAAUUAUACCAUCGAAGAUAAUCUACAAUACCAAGAUUUGCUAAGAAUCCUCGUCGAUACAAAACAUCAGCUACUAAAACCUGGAGGGGCAAAAAACAAGGGUAAGUGAGCCUAAAAAUAAAGUUUCAUAAAAACCUUUUUGAAGACAUUAUAACCCCUUGCAGUAAAACAAGUAUAGUUUCCAAAAUAUACAUACUACAAAUAGUAAGGAAAAUACUUACCGUAGCCUGCAAUAUCUCAAGAAUUCAAUACGGCACAAUAUUUCGUAAAUAAAGACACGACGCUAGUAAUCACACAAUCUAACACCCCUAAUCACACAAUCUCGCAUAAGCAAACAUAUCAUAUCAAGUGCUCAUUGACACAUGCUGACACACGAGUUCAUGCAGAGAUAUUCUGACAUGAACAGGACUUGGUGUAACAAUGAUAUAUAAUCUAGUACUACAAUCACGUGAAGACUUGCGCUAUGCACAACACAUAUGAGUCCUAAUUGCCUAUAGCAAUCUAGGAUAUGAUUGGCACCUACAAUGAAUCCAAAGUGAGCAUACGAUGUGAUGUGCAUAUACACAUGAAAGAUUGUCCUUGUCCCGGGCGAGUAUUAACACUGGUGCAACAAACGAUGAGCAGACAACAUAAAUAUAGUCAUGCCACAAAGAUUCGAUAAUUCUAGUCAACGUAAUAUUAUUCAUAGCCGUAAAUUUAAUUAAGGCAUCCCGUAAGAUUUAUAAUGAUUUCCUAAUUCUCUUUGUUACGUCAUUUCCAUGCAAUGUGUUUCACCUAGAAACGAAACCAUUAACGUAAAUAUAUAAUGUACUAACGUAUAAAAGCGUUUUUCGCACAAAGUACGGCUAAUAAAUGAACAAACGGUCAAAUUUCGGAAAACGAACGACGGAUUCAGAUUCGACAUGUCAAGAAACCUAAGGAGGGACCUCGAGCUCCUUCACGUGCCGCCGCCACGUGCCACUCGCGGUGGUUCCCUCACGUGCGCCCAAUCGCCUACGAGUACAAUAGUACUCAUCUUCCUCGCAAAGGCCUGCACUUUGCAGGUUUUUGGUCUAACUUCUACAGCUCCUAUCGAGCUCGAUUCUCCACCAAAAUCAAUGAUUCAAAAGCCAUUUUG
This 1518-nucleotide long non-coding RNA is filed under the name Malus domestica (apple). Its description in RNAcentral is "long non-coding RNA (MDOM_LNC009206)". The record is from RNAcentral. Lineage: Eukaryota; Viridiplantae; Streptophyta; Magnoliopsida; Rosales; Rosaceae.